Molecule: microRNA precursor, 80 nt
Organism: Pan paniscus (pygmy chimpanzee)
Lineage: Eukaryota; Metazoa; Chordata; Mammalia; Primates; Hominidae
Source: Ensembl
GUAUUAGGCUGGUGCAAAAGUAAUUUCAGUUUUGCUAUCACUUUCAAUUGCAAAAACUGCAAUCACUUUUGCACCAACCU